CUUAGUGGCGAACGGGUGAGUAACGCGUGAGUAACCUGCCCUGGAGUGGGGGACAACAGUUGGAAACGACUGCUAAUACCGCAUAAGCCCACGGCCCGGCAUCGGGCUGAGGGAAAAGGAUUUAUUCGCUUCAGGAUGGACUCGCGUCCAAUUAGCUAGUUGGUGAGGUAACGGCCCACCAAGGCGACGAUUGGUAGCCGGACUGAGAGGUUGAACGGCCACAUUGGGACUGAGACACGGCCCAG
RNAcentral lists this ribosomal RNA (245 nucleotides) under uncultured bacterium. RNAcentral describes it as "partial 16S ribosomal RNA". It matches the Rfam family "Bacterial small subunit ribosomal RNA", at positions 91 to 334 of the family's 1533-position model. The record is from RNAcentral.